UACGGAGGGGGCGAGCGUUAUUCGGAAUUAUUGGGCGUAAAGGGCGCGUAGGCGGCCGGAUAAGUCAAAGGUGAAAUCCCUCGGCUCAACUGAGGAACUGCCUUUGAUACUGUUUGGCUUGAGUCCGGGAGGGGGUAGCGGAAUUCCCAGUGUAGCGGUGAAAUGCGUAGAUAUUGGGAGGAACACCAGUGGCGAAGGCGGCUACCUGGACCGGAACUGACGCUGAUGCGCGAAAGCGUGGGGAGCAAACAGG
RNAcentral lists this ribosomal RNA (253 nucleotides) under uncultured bacterium. Its description in RNAcentral is "partial 16S ribosomal RNA". It matches the Rfam family "Bacterial small subunit ribosomal RNA", at positions 524 to 776 of the family's 1533-position model. The record is from RNAcentral.